GAAAGGCUGGACUAUGACCCUGGGGAACGUUCACAUCCUUAGUUAACCUUAUGCUGUGUGACCUUGGGCAGGUAGCACAACCUCUCUGAGUUUCCCGUGUGCCUCAUGUGCAGAUUGAGAUGAUGAAAUGAGAGAGCUAAAUUGUAAGCUCGUUUCACAUAGGGGGCCGUGAGCAGGUGGUCGUUUUGUCCUCUGGCACUACUGGCUCAGACUUAAGCAGCUUCAACGACUGCCAAGAUGCCUGCUAUGGUCACCAAGAUUUAAAGGGCUCUGACAAUUCUCUCUCUCCCUAAACAUUGUUUUCCCUAUCUAAUCCUAAUAACCAAGCCUGGAGGAAUCUGACUUUGUGAUUGAAGGCUCUCCAGGUCCCCUGGCUUAAGGACAGAGAUUUACUUUCUGAGGCUACAAAGGAGCAUCUGGGAGAUGGCUAGAGAGUCUCUACCUUAAGCAAAACAGGGAGGAGGGGUGAAGCUCUACAAAUUGUUUCUGGCUUGGGCUUUUUCUUUCUCUCUCUUUUGGGGUGUCUUCUCUGGCCAAGAACACCUGUGAGUCCUUGAUGUCAUGACUAGGAAAGAUAUUUUGUUUUUAAUUCAUGUAACUAAUCUUUAGAGAAAAUGGAUCCUGAAAACAUGUUAUUUUCUGAUCACAGAAUGACUGCAUUACUCAGAAUUCUUUACUUCCACCGGAAUUUAGUGAAGGGAAGGCACAGCCUACAUUAGGAAAAUACAGGACACACUCCAGUCCUUAAACCUUCCACAAUCCUCUAACUCUUUAAGUCCAAUAUGAUCCUCCCCAGAACUGCAUCCUCCAGGAAGCUCAUGAGAAAGGAAGAAUCCCAGGUCCCACCCCUGAUGUUCUGAAUCGGUAUCUGCAUUUUAACAGAAUCCUGAAGCACUUGUUUAACCCCUUUGGUGAUGUUAUGGUCUGAAUGGAUACCUCCAAAAUUCACAUAUUAAAAUAACCCCAAGGUGAUAUUAGGAAGUGGGGCCUUUGGGAGGUAAUUAAGUCACGAGGGUGGAGCCUUCAUGAAUGGGAUUUGUUCUCUUAGAAAAAAGACCCCAGAGCUCCCUUUCCACCAUGUAAGGAUACAAGUACAAGAAGAUGGCAGACUGCAAAUUGGAAAAGGGCCCUCCUCAAAACAUGAUCAUCUUGGCACCUUGAUUUCAUACUUCCAUCUUCCAGAACUGUGAGAAGUAAAUUUCUUUUAUAAACACCCAGUCAAUGGUACUUUAUUAUAGCAGCUUGAAUGGACUAAGACUGGUGGUCUGGUUUAAAGUGAUGUGGUGGCAUCAGAAAUUUAAGGAGAGAUUGGAUUCACAGAACUGGAAUCUGGAAUGCCAUUGACAGAACAAAUAUUUCCUGCACUUGAACAUUGUCAGCAGGUCGAUUCAGGAGACAGAUGAAAGCUUUAUCACCGGGCAGCCUGGAUGAACGUCACAACUUUGAACUCUUUCACAUAAAGGAACGAUAAGGGCAUCCACUAUUUCUACACCUAGCUGGCAGAGUGAAAUCUCACCAAAGAUUUGUCACUUGGCUGACCUCCAAACCUGCCCAUCAGCCAGAAAUCAAGAAGCCUACAAGUCACAGCUGGAUCCACUGGUGGAACAAAGCUCAGCUGCCAAUUUCAGAAAAGAAAGCGUGUUCUGCUCUGGAGUCACAUUUAAUUAUGCAGAAUUUAUGUAUUUUAUUUUUUUGUAACGCUUGCAUGUUAAACCAUAAAUGUGAGCUAAUAAAAGAUAAUAUGUAUGAAAUACCUAGCAGGGUUAGGCAGAGGAGACACAAAAUAAAUCCAUCUUGCUUGUUCCCCUUGUACUUCUCUCUCCUGUACUUUACAAGUAGAAUAAUAACUUGUUAGAGGUGGUUAAUUAAUGUAAACUUCCAAAAACACUAUCAACACAAAAUGGUGCUCAUAUGUUUGUGAACGAAGAUAGAUAGGAGGAUACGAUUAGAAAAAUGUAAUCUACUUUCCCCAAAAGACCCAAGAUGAAUGCCCAUUGGUACAUUUUCAUAGUGGGCUAGGUUAAGCUAUACAAAAUAACAAGAGCCUUCUAAUUAUUAGAAUAUAACAUGUUUUAUAAAAGUAUAACUCACUGCCCCCACCAAUGCUACAGCAAAAUCUAACAACUAAUCUUAUUUCAAAUAUAAUUGUAGAAAUAUGUUAGGAGCAUCAAAGUACAUGUAGAACAAAUAAGGAAACUAAGAAGAUGCAUUGAAUAUCUAAACAGCUCCAUAGCCAGUCAGUGGGUUUUGGAAUUCAACUCUGAAAACUGCACCAAUGCUUUAAUCUUCUUCCCAUUGUUUAUUUUCCAUGGUCUUACUCAGAAUGUAGAAACUGUGUCCUAUUUUUAGUACUGAGGAAGAAAUAGAUAAAUAUAUAUUAUAAGCUAAAAAUUCAGAGUAACCAGGUGAUCAACAGAAUGGGAGAAAAUAGUUGCAAACUAUACCUCUGAUAAGAAACUUGUAUUAGUACAUUUUCAUGCUGCUGAUAAAGACAUACCCAAGACUGGGCAAUUUACAAAAGAAAAAAGUUUAUUGGACUAAAAGUUCCACAUGGCUUGGCAGGCCUCACAAUCAUAGUGGAAGGUAAUAAGCACAUCUCACAUGACUUCAGACUAGAAGAGAGCUUGUGCAGGGAAAGUCCCUUUUUUAAAACAAUCAGAUCUCAUGAGACUUAUUCACUAUCAUGAGAACAGCAUGGGAAAGACCUGACCCCGUGAUUCAAUUACCUCCCACUGAGUUCUACCCACAACAUGUGGGAACUCAAGAUGAGAUUUGGAAGAGGACACAGCCAAACCACAUCAAAACCAAUACCCAGAAUCUACAGGGAACUCAAAUCAGCAAGCAAAAAAGCAAAGAAUCCCAUUGAAGUGGGCAAACUACAUGAACAAACACUUCCCUGAAGAAGAUAUGUAAAUGGCCAAGAAACAUGAAAAAAUGCUUAACAUUGCUAAUCAUCAAGGAAAUGCAAAUUAAAACUAUGUUAAUACCACCUUAUCUUAGCCAGAAUGGUCAUUAUUUAAAAAUCAAAAAACAAUAACUGUUGGCAUGAAUGUGGUGAAAAAAAAAACACUUAUAUACUGUUGGUAGAAAUGUAAAUCACUACAGCCUCUAUGGAAAACAAUAUAGAGAUUCUCAAAGAGUUCAGUGUAGAUUUACUAUUUGAUCCAGUGAUCCCACUACUAGGUAUCUGUCCAAAGGAAAAGAUGUCAUUAUAUUAAAAAAGCACCCACAUACACAUGUUUAUUGUAGCACAAUCCAUAAUUAUAAAGAAAUGGAAUCAACCUAAGUGCCCACCAAUCUAUGUGUGGCUAAAGAAAAUGUGUUUUAUAUACACACAAACACAUACGCGUGCACACACACACACACACACACACACACACACACACCAUGGAAUACUACUCAGCCAUAAAAAAGAAUGAAAUAAUAUCUUUUGCAGCAACUUGAUAGAAUUGCAAGCUAUUAUCCUAAGUGAAGUAACUCAGGAAUGGAAAACCAAAUGCCACAUGUUCUCACUUGUAAGUGGGGGUUAAGCUGUGACUGUGCAAAAACAUACAGAGUAAUGUAAUAGACAUUGGAGACACAGAAGAGGCAAGAAUGGUAGGAGGUAGGGGAUGAAAAAUUGCCUGUUGGGUACAAUGUAUGCUCUUUGGGUGAGGGGUACACUAAAAGGCUGGACCUUGCCACUGUACAGUGCAUUCAUGUAACCAGAAACUACUGGUACCCUCAAAGCUAUUGAAAUGACAAUAAAUUAACAAAUACUGUAAGCAAAAUACAAUAUAUGUCAUAAAUGCACAGAGCAUGUAUGUGAUGCAUUUAUGUGAUUUUAUCCAUAUUUGAUGAUUUGAUAUAUGAGAUUAGGAGGCCUUUAACUAGAAUAUACUUGGAUUUUGGAGACAUGAGUUCUGUACUUCUUGUGUACUAUAAAAUUUCUGGAUGCAAAACUUUUUUGAUUUUGCAGUGCACAGCAAAAUGGAACCAUCUUUUCUGGGCACAUGACAGAAAUUAAAAGGAGCAGGGGCUAAGUUCAAAGGGAUAUAAUUAAUGUCCUAAAGGGGUUAAAAGCAUAAACUUAAUCAUUCCAUCAUCAGGUGACCUGCCAGCAUGAGAACAUUGCUGAAUCUUGUACGAGUUAGAUUCAGGAGAAAGUGGUAAUUCUUCCAUGAUUAGAAUUACUUGUCAGGCUCACUUUAAGGAUACAUAAAUCUGAGUUUUUCCUGGUGACAACCAGCCCAAUCAAAGAAAGCAUAUGUUAAAUAGAAUGAAAUUACAUUGUAAAUCAAUAAGCCCAAAUUAGAAUAGCACUGUACAACUUCCCUCAGUAUUGUGAUUCCAAAGUUUUGUUAUACAAGUGAGGUUAGGAGACAGAUUGGGAGACAGACAUCGUAAAUGUUAAAGAAUGGUUGUGACGGAGGUUACUAAAGAGCUAGCUAUACUGAUAAAAUACAUCAGAUUGUUUAUGCCUAAAAUGUAUGGAAAUACAAAUGUUGGAAACAAA
Long non-coding RNA from Callithrix jacchus (white-tufted-ear marmoset), 4495 nucleotides. RefSeq lists it as uncharacterized. The record is from RefSeq and is a predicted model, not a curated record. Lineage: Eukaryota; Metazoa; Chordata; Mammalia; Primates; Cebidae.